CCUACGGGGGGCAGCAGUGAGGAAUAUUGGUCAAUGGACGAGAGUCUGAACCAGCCAAGUAGCGUGAAGGAUGACUGCCCUAUGGGUUGUAAACUUCUUUUAUAUGGGAAUAAAAUGUUCCACGUGUGGGAUUUUGUAUGUACCAUAUGAAUAAGGAGCGGCUAACUCCGUGCCAGCAGCCGCGGUAAUACGGAGGAUCCGAGCGUUAUCCGGAUUUAUUGGGUUUAAAGGGAGCGUAGGGGGAUUGUUAAGUCAGUGGUGAAAGUUUGCGGCUCAACCGUAAAAUUGCAGUUGAAACUGGCAGUCUUGAGUCCAGUAGAGGUGGGCGGACUUCGUGUUGUAGCGG
This 346-nucleotide ribosomal RNA is filed under the name uncultured bacterium. RNAcentral's name for it is "partial 16S ribosomal RNA". It matches the Rfam family "Bacterial small subunit ribosomal RNA", at positions 338 to 681 of the family's 1533-position model. The record is from RNAcentral.